GGCUCAGAUUGAACGCUGGCGGCAGGCCGUAACACAUGCAAGUCGAGCGGUAGAGAGGUGCUUGCAUCUCUUGAGAGCGGCGGACGGGUGAGUAAUGCCUAGGAAUCUGCCUAGUGGUGGGGGAUAACGUUCGGAAACGGACGCUAAUACCGCAUACGUCCUACGGGAGAAAGCGGGGGAUCUUCGGACCUCGCGCCAUUAGAUGAGCCUAGGUCGGAUUAGCUAGUUGGUGAGGUAAUGGCUCACCAAGGCGACGAUCCGUAACUGGUCUGAGAGGAUGAUCAGUCACACUGGAACUGAGACACGGUCCAGACUCCUACGGGAGGCAGCAGUGGGGAAUAUUGGACAAUGGGCGAAAGCCUGAUCCAGCCAUGCCGCGUGUGUGAAGAAGGGUCUUCGGAUUGUAAAGCACUUUAAGUUGGGAGGAAGGGUAGUAACCUAAUACGUUGCUACUUUGACGUUACCGACAGAAUAAGCACCGGCUAACUUCGUG
Molecule: ribosomal RNA, 493 nt
Filed under: uncultured bacterium
Lineage: Bacteria
Description: bacterial SSU rRNA
Rfam family: Bacterial small subunit ribosomal RNA
Source: RNAcentral